Molecule: long non-coding RNA, 2175 nt
Organism: Oreochromis aureus
Lineage: Eukaryota; Metazoa; Chordata; Actinopteri; Cichliformes; Cichlidae
Exons: 4
Source: RefSeq, a predicted model, not a curated record
AGAGUCUCCAUCCAGCUGGAUCACUGUCACAGGGAAACCUACAACCACAUCUCCAUCUACUCCCACACCUGUAUCUACAUCCAACUCUAUCCCUACAUCAGCGUCUCCUCCGCAUCUUGUUCUUUCUGUGUUAAUCUCUGUUGGAUCCGUCUGUGUUGUGGUUCUACUGGUGUUACUGGCUCUAUUGGUGAGAAGAGAUGUUGACCGGAAACCUGAAGAGAUUUAUACAGCUGUAGUUUACUCAGCAGUGAGAGCUGAAGACGUCAGUAUUGGAGACAAAACCAUCAGAAAGAGGAGUCCAAGACUUUAAACCAGAGCCAGACGUCCUCUACUCUUCACUGAAGUAGUCCACCAGUCCAACCACUGACGUCCAUCUGCUGGUCUCUAACUGGUCCCCCCAGCACCUCAGACCAGAGGACAUCCAAAUUGAAUUUUACAUGUCUUAAGUCUUUUUUCUCACUGAGAAAACCCAUAGACCCAUAGACUCAAAAAUCGCAUCAUGGAUUUUUUAAAGUGUCCUUUAAUAAGGAAUCACAGCUUCACGGUUUUAUAAAAAUGUUUCAAGUCUUAAAAAAAUUAUGGUUUUUAUGUGUUAUGUCUCUUUUGUAGAAGUGAAACGAGUUAAACAACUCAAAAAAUACAUACAACACAUUUUAACUGGAAUUUAAAAAAAAGUAUUUUGCAGCAAAUCCACAGUAGGAAAAUAAACAUGUGAUUUGUAUUUUUUUUAAAUUUUAUUUCUUAGCACUUGUUCCCAUGGCAACCACCUUGCUUCUGAGGGUUUGUUCUCACUUGUUUUCAGCAUCGAUACAGACGCUGUGCCUUCCUGAUCUGUCACAUCUGGUUUCGUUAUGAUUCAAUUAUGAUGAUAUCACUGUCAAAUUUCAGCAUAUUCAGACAAAGCUGCUGAAGAUGAUUCACAUACACUGAUAUUAAAGUAUCACAUACCAACAGCAAACAGUCAAACAAAGCAGAAGUAAUUUGGGGGACCCCAGGGUGAAGUGUGAACCGUAUGUUCACCUCAUUCAAACAUGGAGAUUUGAAUCUCUCUGUUUUAAAUCUCCACUGCUUUUUCCAGCCUUAACAUUUUUAGCAACAUCAUGUUUGUCUUUAUUGCCAACAGCGAUUCAGUUUUGAUGAAAGGGUGUAGUGCUAAUUUAUUAGCUAGUGUCAGAUAGUUUGGUUAUCAAGCUGCUCCCAUAGACUGUAAGGGGUCAACAGAAAGGCACUGAUAGCUGCUAAAUAGAGCUUAGUAACAUAAAAAAAAGAUCCUAGAAUUAAACUUAAAAGGUUUGUUUAUGCAAUAAGCCAAAUUGUAUUGGUUACACAUUUGCAUUAAAAAUGCCCCCAAAGCACAAACAUGGCUGAACCAUUGGCUGAGGUGAAGCCUAACAGACAGUUGGCAGUUACAGCAGCCUGUGUCCAUCCACCUCUCAGUCAAAGAGGCCACGCCCCUAAUAAUGCAAACUUUCAGCCUUAUUAACAUUUGAACAGGUGAGUUAUAAAGGCAUUCACCUCAUGCACACUUCGUAUGAAGGGGACUGUUAGCUAUAGAGACCAAAUAUAUUUUUAAUAGCAGGUUGUAUAAAUUUUUAUUUCUGCUGUAAAGUUGAACAUGUUCACAUGAGCGUCUGUGGAGAGUGACUGACUUUAUAAAGCUCAAGUGGACAUUAGAGGAACUGCAGCGUUUGGUGCUCUUGGUUUGUUCAGUGUUGUAGUGGGAGGAGUCAGAGACACUGAGUUGGAUGAAAUUGAGAUUUAAUGUUAAAUUAGGUUAACAUUAAAUUAGAUUAAGAUUAAUUACGUCAUAGAAUCAAAAGUAGCUGAAUUUAAGAAACAGGAAGCCUGUGAUGAUGUGUAAAAUAAACCCAGUUUGGAUUAUGAGUAAAUGAUUUUACAUUUAACAGCAUGAUGGUAUCAGUCAAAUAUAUAUUAGUCUGUCUGUAGAUUUUCACCCCAUCCUAAGUCCUGUGUGUUUGUCGUCUGUGGUUAACACUAACGAGUCUGCAACUGUUUCUGAGAAAGAAAAGAAGCUUCAUCUACGUGUGUUUCAACACAGAGGUGUUAAUUUUAAAUAGAGGAAGAAACACAUGUGAGUUAUUUGUAAGAGUAUUUCUGUAAAGUCAGACAGAUCAAGGCUGUUAUCAUAUUUAUUAAAUAUCAAAAUAUAUUUAA